CCAAAGGCUCUUCUCAAAGCCACUCACAUGGCCAGGAGAGCUGUG
Non-coding RNA from Bos taurus (domestic cattle), 45 nucleotides. NCBI's taxonomy places the organism in Eukaryota, Metazoa, Chordata, Mammalia, Artiodactyla, Bovidae. The record is from Rfam.